This 120-nucleotide ribosomal RNA is filed under the name Trachipleistophora hominis. The record is from RNAcentral. Lineage: Eukaryota; Fungi; Microsporidia; Pleistophoridae.
AGUCACGGCCAUAUCCGCUGGAAAGCACCGGAUCCCGUCCGAUCUCCGCAGUUAAACCAGUGUGAGCUUGCGCAGUACUGAAGCGGGGAGACCCUUCGGGAAAAGCGAGUGCUGUGAUUU